AAAUCAUUUCCUCUUUAAACGAAAAAGAUGUUAAAAACAUAGAUAAUUCCCCAAAAUCUCAUGGUCCAAGUUCCUACAAAUCCUCUUAUGAUCUCAACAAAAGAAAGAAAGACACCUCGAAAACAACAAUACAAGAUAUUAGAAUUGAAAUCAAAGAAGUAAAAAAUGAUCUAAAAAUCCUCAAAGAAAAAAAAGACAAGAUUCUGAAUAUUUUCACUCGAUCAUAUCUUCCAUCAAAGAUCCUCAUGAUUCUAGUUAGGAAGAACAAGAAAAUGAUUGCUUAAAUAAUAAAGAUGAAAAUAUCAAAGAACAAAUUCAAUCUCUAGAUAUGGCCCCUAAUGAUUUCCUUUUCGUUCUACGAGAAAUAACCUCUCGAAAAUAUAAAAUUAGAGUUACCAUUGUUUUUUCAAAGUACAAAAUGGACACAAUUGCUUUGUUCGACACUGGUGCAGAUCUUAACUGUAUCAAGUCUGGGCUUGUUCCAAAAUGUUUUCAUCUAGAAACUAAAAAACUAUCUGCUGCAAAUAACUCUAAACUUCGUAUAACAUCUAAAGCAGAAGCUUUAAUAUUAAAAGAAAAUAUUCUUAUUAAAACUGCAUUCGUCUCACAGAUGAUAUAUAGCAAAAUGUUAAUUAGGAACACCAUUUAUUAAUUUGAUCACACCAUAUAAAGUUAUGGAUGAUAAAAUUUCCUUUAAAAAUCAAAACAUAAAAUUAUCUUUUAAAUUUCUCGAAACACCAAAAAAGCGAAGUCUAAACUUAAUAAAAUCUUGUUCAAUACAAGAAAACUUUCUAAACUCUUUAAUCCAUAGUAAAACCUUUUCCACCUGGAACAUUUAAAAUCAGAAGUUUUACUUCAAAAGACCUUAGAAACCUUAAAUUCAAAAGAUAUAAAAGAGAAAAUUUCGAACUUAAAUAAAUUAUUUGAGAAAGAAAUUUGUUCAGAUUAACCAACUGAUUUUUGGAAUCGAAAACAACAUAUUGUUGAUUUACCUUAUGAUGAAAAUUUUCUUGAAAAAGAGAUUCCCACAAAAGCUCGUCCAAAUCAAAUGAACUCAGAAUUAGA
Molecule: long non-coding RNA, 1065 nt
Filed under: Brassica rapa (field mustard)
Lineage: Eukaryota; Viridiplantae; Streptophyta; Magnoliopsida; Brassicales; Brassicaceae
Description: long non-coding RNA (BRAP_LNC005818)
Source: RNAcentral